GUGCCUGUAGCUCAAAAGAGUAGGGCGCUGGCCCCAUAUGCCAGAGGUGGUGGGUUCAAAUCCAGCCCUGGACA
RNAcentral lists this transfer RNA (74 nucleotides) under Otolemur garnettii (small-eared galago). It matches the Rfam family "tRNA". From Rfam's summary of the family: Transfer RNA (tRNA) molecules are approximately 80 nucleotides in length. Their secondary structure includes four short double-helical elements and three loops (D, anti-codon, and T loops). Lineage: Eukaryota; Metazoa; Chordata; Mammalia; Primates; Galagidae. The record is from Rfam by way of RNAcentral.